GUAGAGGUUAACACAGUAAAGGAGUUUAAGCAUGCGUGGGAUAGGCAUAAGGCUAUCCUAACUAUAAGAUAAGACUAGGGACUAAUGAAAGUAUUUAGAAAAUUGGGCAGACUAGAUGGGCCGAAUGGUUCUUAUCUGCCGUCACAUUCUAUGUUUCUAUGAAUCGUGACACCCAGCCAAACCCCAACAAGCUGACAGGCAGCAUCCCAGCCGGCCCC
RNAcentral lists this long non-coding RNA (218 nucleotides) under Pelobates cultripes (western spadefoot toad). Lineage: Eukaryota; Metazoa; Chordata; Amphibia; Anura; Pelobatidae. The record is from RNAcentral.